AUUGAACGCUGGCGGCAUGCCUUACACAUGCAAGUCGAACGGCAGCACGGGUGCUUGCACCUGGUGGCGAGUGGCGAACGGGUGAGUAAUACAUCGGAACAUGUCCUGUAGUGGGGGAUAGCCCGGCGAAAGCCGGAUUAAUACCGCAUACGAUCUACGGAUGAAAGCGGGGGACCUUCGGGCCUCGCGCUAUAGGGUUGGCCGAUGGCUGAUUAGCUAGUUGGUGGGGUAAAGGCCUACCAAGGCGACGAUCAGUAGAUGGUCUGAGAGGACGACCAGCCAAACCUGGACUGAGACACGGCCCAGACUCCUACGGGAGGCAGCAGUGGGGAAUUUUGGACAAUGGGCGAAAGCCUGAUCCAGCAAUGCCGCGUGUGUGAAGAAGGCCUUCGGGUUGUAAAGCACUUUUGUCCGGAAAGAAAUCCUUGGCUCUAAUACAGUCGGGGGAUGACGGUACCGGAAGAAUAAGCACCGGCUAACUACGUG
This 486-nucleotide ribosomal RNA is filed under the name uncultured bacterium. Its description in RNAcentral is "partial 16S ribosomal RNA". It matches the Rfam family "Bacterial small subunit ribosomal RNA", at positions 30 to 507 of the family's 1533-position model. The record is from RNAcentral.